This is a non-coding RNA of Prunus avium (sweet cherry), 285 nucleotides long. NCBI's taxonomy places the organism in Eukaryota, Viridiplantae, Streptophyta, Magnoliopsida, Rosales, Rosaceae. The record is from RefSeq and is a predicted model, not a curated record.
UACAAAUUCGUCGAUUCGCUCUCAGCUCAGCAGCAACGACGGUGACAUUCCUCCUGCCAUAUGCUUACUCAGUUUGGGUUUUUUUUCCUUCAACCAUGCGCCGACAAAUGACUAAUGAGGUGGUCUUGAUGGAUACUAAGGUGAUGACUUGCCCCUGAAACUCGUCACUUAAGGUGGUCUUGAUGGAGACGAAGCACCCAAUGGCCAAACUACUCGUCACUUAAUAUUGUAAAAAUAAAAAUUUAAAAACUGUUGCCGGUCCAAACCGGAAAAACCGGAACCGAA